GGAGUUAGCCGGUGCUUCUUCUGUGAGUGAUGUCCUUCCUGCCGGUUAUUGACCCGCAGGCCUUCUUCCUCACUGAAAGUGCUUUACAACCCGAAGGCCUUCUUCACACACGCGGCAUGGCUGGAUCAGGGUUGCCCCCAUUGUCCAAUAUUCCCCACUGCUGCCUCCCGUAGGAGUCUGGGCCGUGUCUCAGUCCCAGUGUGGCUGAUCAUCCUCUCAGACCAGCUACGGAUCGUCGCCUUGGUGAGCCGUUACCUCACCAACCAGCUAAUCCGACAUAGGCUCAUCCGAUAGCGCGAGGCCCGAAAGUCCCCCGCUUUCCCCCGUAGGGCGUAUGCGGUAUUAGCCUGGGUUUCCCCAGGUUAUCCCCCACUACCGGGCAGAUUCCUAUGCAUUACUCACCCGUCCGCCGCUCGCCACCAGGGAGCAAGCUCCCCGUGCUGCCGCUCGACUUGCAUGUGUUAGGCCUGCCGCCAGCGUUCAAUCUGAGCCAUAAUCAAACUCUGA
This 507-nucleotide ribosomal RNA is filed under the name uncultured bacterium. RNAcentral describes it as "partial 16S ribosomal RNA". The record is from RNAcentral.